GAUGAAGAACGCAGCGAAAUGCGAUAAGUAGUGUGAAUUGCAGAAUUCAGUGAAUCAUCGAAUCUUUGAACGCACAUUGCGCCCCCUGGUAUUCCGGGGGGCAUGCCUGUCCGAGCGUCAUUGCUGCCCUCAAGCACGGCUUGUGUGUUGGGCCUCCGUCCUCCUCCCGGGGGACGGGCCCGAAAGGCAGCGGCGGCACCGCGUCCGGUCCUCGAGCGUAUGGGGCUUCGUCACCCGCUCUUGUAGGCCCGGCCGGCGCUUGCCGAAACAUCAAUCUUUUUUCCAGGUUGACCUCGGAUCAGGUAGGGAUACCCGCUGAACUUAAGCAUAUCAAUAAGCGGAGGA
RNAcentral lists this unclassified non-coding RNA (345 nucleotides) under soil metagenome. RNAcentral describes it as "partial contains 5.8S ribosomal RNA, internal transcribed spacer 2, and large subunit ribosomal RNA". The stretch from base 1 to 120 matches the Rfam family "5.8S ribosomal RNA", at positions 35 to 154 of the family's 154-position model. The record is from RNAcentral.